GAACAGACUCUGGAGGAUAACCAACAGUGAUGCAACAGACAGGGGUAGUGUAGAAACUGUCCAUAGAGACUUUUCCCUGCCUUAGCUAUUUUGGAAUAAGGUAGAUCUAUUUAUGGACGUAUAUCCUAUCUAGAUGAAGAAAUGCUCAUAUGAUCAUUGACACAAAAAAAGUUUCACCUCAUUAAAGGAAAGGAGAGUGGGAAAUAAAGAUAUUCACAGAGAAGAAAAGUCAAGAGAACACUGAUGUGAAGUAUGCUUCAAGCAACAACGUUCUUUCAUCUGUUUUCAUCAGCGUUUCCUUUUUGAAAAAGAAUUUAACUGUGGAGGGCGAUUUUCUCUGAAGAAUGAGAGGGAUCAUCUUUCAAAUGUUGCCAACUAGAUGGAAGAUAUUUAUUCAUGAACGGCCCUGAAAUAUUUGGGAAAUGAUUUUAGCGACAAACGCUUUUGAAGAAAGCCUGAUUACAUGGAUCUGUUUCCCACCUGGCUGUUUUCUAAGCUAAGAAGCCUCUAGCCUAGUCUUAGAUGCAUGGGAUCCAUGUAGAUAAAUGAUCAGCUAAAGGACAUCUGAGUCAUGCAAUAAUCUCUAUUUAUUUACUACAGUUUUUUAAAAAUUUGGUCAUAGGUGUUUCAACAGGAAAGAGCAAACAAAUAUUUGCAGAAUUAUUUUUAUUUUGACUGGGGUCCAUGCAGAGAGCCUUCUCUGCUUUGGAACAUUCUGGUCCCCCCUCCCCCCCAUUUCUGGCUUUCUGGAAAUGUCUGAAGAUCUGGCUCUGACAAAUUGUUUGAUGCCCAAAGGAGCAUGCAACCAUGGGGCUGCUUAGUGCCUUGAAGGCCCUCCUCACUUUUAAAUUUAAUUUUGAAUUUUAAUUACUCUGUUAUUGUUUAACUGUCUGUUAUAAUAUUUAUAUAUAGCUUUUAGGUUUUUAUGUCUCAUUUUUACAUUGGCCAGGGUCACUCUGUGAGGGAGAUGGGUGAUUUCUAAAUGUGAUACAUAAAUAUAGAAAUGCUGAAGGAGAAAAGCUUAGUUUUUUUUUCUAAGCAUUUCACAUUGUGCACUCUAUUUCAGUGAAAUAAAAAGAUGUGCUGGCAGAUUUCCAAACACUAAUAUACCAGCAAAAAGUUCUGCAUCCAGCUGGAUGGAACAACUCUUGGGCUUGUCUAAAUGUUAUUGAUUGAAAUCUAAUGGAAACCCAGGAAAACUUAGGAUCCAGCAAAUCUUUGAGUAUUUUCCAAGUCUGGGGAUUUUGAUUCAGGAAGAUACCAAUAUAGAAGUCAAUGGGAGGAUAGAAUCAAAUAUAAAUUUCCUUCUUUUUAUUUAAGUGGCAAGUUUGAUCUAGUCUAUGAUUCCCAAGGACCUUAAGAUUGUUCUCUGAGUAUGUGUGUUUAAAAAAAGGGAGGUUACCAGAGAGGCACCAUUUUAGUUUGUUGCAAAACAUGGAUAGAAUAUUGUAGUAACAAAAACUAAGUUGUGGUUAACUUAUGGAAUAUUCAAUUUACUGUUGUCAUUAAAGUACCACAAGCCUAAUUUAAAAAUGGAUUGGUAUUCUAAUUCAUCCUUUCUGCUGAAAAGAAACAGCAAGAGUUAGCUUAGAUGAAUCAUAACGGGUGACUUUUGUGAAAGUCAAUAUGUUACCUGUAUGAUCAAAAAUCGGUAUUUUGUUCAGCUUAUCCAAGUGACCAGAUGAAUUAGGUGAUGUUGCUCCAAUAGUGGACUGCUUUGUGCAAUGCAGCAAUUUGGCAACAGUUGCCUGUGUGGGGCUUUCCUGUCUUUGUUCUCUAGGAUUAGAGGAGUUAAUCAAAACGACAGUGACUUCUGGCUUGAUAUAGUUAGAAAGGUCACAAACCUGAGGCUCAAUUGUUUUCCAGUCAAUGGUAAACUGGUACAUAAAAUGCUUGCAGCUUCCAUUCUGCACAAUGCAUUCCGCCAUGAAAUUAUCAAUCAGCAAGAAAAAGCCAUUACAAAAGGUGAACAAGGUCAAGGUUACAUUAGUUUCAGCACAUCUAGCCCAUUUUUCAAACUCUUCUUCCAAUAACAGGUAGUAAUGCUGAAAGGGAGCAGGUGUUAAAAAAAUGCAUAUCCUGCCUGAAUUUGAUGGAAAUUAGAUUCUCAGUUCCAGCCUCAUUCAAUGUGGACUCUAGAGCUGAACAAAGGAAAUUUGGAGCUCUCAGUUUCCACUAGGAUGAGUUAACAUACAAUGACAAGCUGAUUUUUCAUGUUGGGAAACCAGAAGU
Long non-coding RNA from Crotalus tigris (Tiger rattlesnake), 2232 nucleotides. RefSeq lists it as uncharacterized. The transcript has 4 exons. The record is from RefSeq and is a predicted model, not a curated record. Lineage: Eukaryota; Metazoa; Chordata; Lepidosauria; Squamata; Viperidae.